AAGUUUAGGUUAAUAAAACCGGGGGCCUUCAAAGCCUCAAACAAGAGCACGCCGCCCUCCUAAC
This 64-nucleotide transfer RNA is filed under the name Cyrtodactylus sp. Its description in RNAcentral is "tRNA-Trp". Lineage: Eukaryota; Metazoa; Chordata; Lepidosauria; Squamata; Gekkonidae. The record is from RNAcentral.